GGUGAGGUGGCCGAGUGGAUAAGGUGAAUGACUGCAGAUCCUUUGUGCUCUGCAUGCGUAGGUUUGAAUCCCAUCCUUGUUG
RNAcentral lists this transfer RNA (82 nucleotides) under Perca fluviatilis (European perch). It matches the Rfam family "tRNA". From Rfam's summary of the family: Transfer RNA (tRNA) molecules are approximately 80 nucleotides in length. Their secondary structure includes four short double-helical elements and three loops (D, anti-codon, and T loops). The record is from Rfam by way of RNAcentral. Lineage: Eukaryota; Metazoa; Chordata; Actinopteri; Perciformes; Percidae.